Molecule: ribosomal RNA, 142 nt
Filed under: Chloroflexota bacterium
Lineage: Bacteria; Bacillati; Chloroflexota
Description: Chloroflexi bacterium partial 16S ribosomal RNA
Rfam family: Bacterial small subunit ribosomal RNA
Source: RNAcentral
AUGAUGGAGAGUUUGAUCCUGGCUCAGGGUAAACGCUGGCGGCGUGCCUAAAACAUGCAAGUCGCACGGACUCUUUCGGGGGUCAGUGGCAGACGGCUGAGUAACGCGUGGGUGACGUACCUGUAGGUGGGGAAUAACUGCC